Long non-coding RNA from Orbicella faveolata, 1229 nucleotides. RefSeq lists it as uncharacterized. Lineage: Eukaryota; Metazoa; Cnidaria; Anthozoa; Scleractinia; Merulinidae. The record is from RefSeq and is a predicted model, not a curated record.
AUGGCGGCCUUCGAAGUCGAUCUUUCAAGAUGAAUAUCUUCAGGAUAGCGGACACUUCAGAGGCCGGAACUUCAGUGAGCUGAAUGUUUACUUGCUAUAGGCGAAGACUGAAAAAUUUAAACAGGCGCUGCAUUUGCGGCACAUAGAUGGAUUAUCGACAGCUCUUUUGGCGACAAUGUUCGUCUUUUGCGACCCACUUAGAGGGAAUUGCGUAGAUGUUGGUUUAACAAUCAAGCCAUCAGCAAGCCGAUAUGGACUAUUUGUAGCCAGCAAAUCCUGUUCAACUGCUGUUAAACGAGAAUCAAAUCGAUUCAAAGAAUAGCAAGUGAAACCAAGUGAAGCCAACGUCAGAAUUAAAUUGAAUGACAAGCCAAAGAGGACAACAGACGAUCCCUUUGCUCCCUUGGUCUCCAUGUUCGCUUAUUUCCUUGUACAAGAGAUUGAACGACUGACCGAUGCUUUAGCUUACUUAUAUCGCUGAGAAUACUCAAAGGAAUGUUGACCUUGCCUGAAUAUCGUUACAGUUUUAGUUGGCAUUUCCGCUCUAUUGAGGCACUAACAGCUAACGCUUUGGGAAGAGGUGCAAUCAGAGCUGGACUAAUCUGAUACCAUAAUUAUUAGUUUGUUCACCUUCCGUGGAAACUAAACGAUGAAAAGCUUUUACGGUGUUUUGUUCUGCACGUACAAUUUCAUAGUAAAUCAGCGAGUCAAGUCGUGUUUGCUAAUGACCAGUACUAGCUGACUGUUUUAAUUCGUUGUCACUUCUGGAGGUUAAAGCGACAAAUGAUGUCCAAAGAGCAGCAAGUUCCAGAUAACUGUUAAACAGCCAUUGUUAUUGAUGAAACUUCCUUGUUAGCUAACUUGACUCAGUAAUAAACGAUGUGCUUUAAUAUAGUUCGCAAGUUCCCUUUUAACAUAUUUCCCGAUGUUGUUGUUUUCCGAUGCUACAGAAUAGUAGAAAGAGAAAAUGUUAUUCUUGUUUUCUUUUAUUUCUAUGAAGAGUUUAAGAUUAUGAAUGACGAAAGCUGGAGUAUUAGAACCAUAAUUUGCUUUUAAUAAUAUUUCCUGCUGAAUACGUGCAGGUAUUAAGCUAACAGAAUUAUGUUCACGUAUGCGGAACUGGAACAAAGUUCAACUCAUUUCACUAGAGUUUAUGUUAACAAGAAAAGAAAAAAGAUCAAAAUCGCUUGAAGAUAUAAUCAUACUAAUAAACCCAGUGCCGUGUAGCA